ACAGUGGCUUAGUUGGUUAAAGUGCCUGCCUAGUAAAUAGGAGAUCUUGGGUUUAAAUCCCAGAAGUUGUG
Non-coding RNA from Manacus vitellinus (golden-collared manakin), 71 nucleotides. The record is from Rfam. Lineage: Eukaryota; Metazoa; Chordata; Aves; Passeriformes; Pipridae.